This 29-nucleotide non-coding RNA is filed under the name Rattus norvegicus (Norway rat). Lineage: Eukaryota; Metazoa; Chordata; Mammalia; Rodentia; Muridae. The record is from RNAcentral.
UAAACAGACAGCUGUGAGGGAAUCCCACA